UACGUAGGACGCAAGCGUUAUCCGGAUUUAUUGGGUUUAAAGGGUGCGUAGGCGGGAAAAUAAGUCAGUGGUGAAAUAUUGUCGCUUAACGAUAAGAUUGCCAUUGAUACUGUUUUUCUUGAGUACAAUUGAGGUAGGCGGAAUGUGUAGUGUAGCGGUGAAAUGCUUAGAUAUUACACAGAACACCGAUUGCGAAGGCAGCUUACUAAAUUGUUACUGACGCUGAGGCACGAAAGCGUGGGGAUCAAACAGG
RNAcentral lists this ribosomal RNA (253 nucleotides) under uncultured bacterium. Its description in RNAcentral is "partial 16S ribosomal RNA". It matches the Rfam family "Bacterial small subunit ribosomal RNA", at positions 524 to 776 of the family's 1533-position model. The record is from RNAcentral.